Molecule: ribosomal RNA, 383 nt
Filed under: uncultured eukaryote
Lineage: Eukaryota
Description: partial 18S ribosomal RNA
Rfam family: Eukaryotic small subunit ribosomal RNA
Source: RNAcentral
CAAUAGCGUAUAUUAAAGUUGUUGCAGUUAAAAAGCUCGUAGUUGGAUUUCUGGUGGGAGCGAUCGGUCUGGCGCUUAGCGCGAGUACUUGCAUCGUCUCCGGCCAUCCUUGGGGAGAGUCUGUCUGGCAUUAGGUUGUCGGGCAGAGAAUCCUCAUCGUUUACUGUGAAAAAAUUAGAGUGUUCAAAGCAGGCUUAUGCCGUUGAAUAUAUUAGCAUGGAAUAAUAAGAUAGGACUUUGGUACUAUUUUGUUGGUUUGCGCACCAAAGUAAUGAUUAAUAGGGACAGUUGGGGGUAUUCGUAUUCCGUUGUCAGAGGUGAAAUUCUUGGAUUUACGGAAGACGAACUACUGCGAAAGCAUUUACCAAGGAUGUUUUCAUUAA